RNAcentral lists this ribosomal RNA (500 nucleotides) under uncultured bacterium. RNAcentral's name for it is "partial 16S ribosomal RNA". It matches the Rfam family "Bacterial small subunit ribosomal RNA", at positions 28 to 507 of the family's 1533-position model. The record is from RNAcentral.
GACGAACGCUGGCGGCGUGCUUAACACAUGCAAGUCGAACGGGUCUGCCCUGUUUUUUGCGGGGUGGGUCAGUGGCGAACGGGUGAGUAACACGUGAGUAACCUGCCCCUCACUUCUGGAUAACCGCUUGAAAGGGUGGCUAAUACGGGGUGUUCUGGCUGUGCCGCAUGGUGUGGCUGGGAAAGAUUCACUUUUGUGGUGUUUUGGUGGGGGAUGGGCUCGCGGCCUAUCAGCUUGUUGGUGGGGUGAUGGCCUGCCAAGGCUUUGACGGGUAGCCGGCCUGAGAGGGUGGGCGGUCACACUGGGACUGAGAUACGGCCCAGACUCCUGCGGGAGGCAGCAGUGGGGGGUAUUGCACAAUGGGCGGAAGCCUGAUGCAGCGACGUCGCGUGAGGGAUGGAGGCCUUCAGGUUGUGAACCUCUUUCGCCGGUGAAGAAGGUCCUGCUCUUUGUGGUGGGGUUGACGGUAGCCGGGUUAUGAAGCGCCGGCUAACUACGUG